AUUGAACGCUGGCGGCAUGCCUUACACAUGCAAGUCGGCCGAGUGGCGAACGGGUGAGUAACGUAUCGGAAAGUACCUAAUAAUGGGGGAUAACUGUCCGAAACGACAGCUAAUACCGCAUACUAUACGAUCGGCCCAUGUGUGAUUAGCUGGUUGGUGGGGUAACGGCUCACCAAGGCGACGAUCCGUAGCGGGUCUGGGAGGAUGAUCAGCCACACUGGGACUGAGACACGGCCCAGACUCCUACGGGAGGCAGAAGUGGGGAAUUUUGGACAAUGGGCGCAAGCCUGAUCCAGCCAUGCCGCGUGUAUGAAGAAGGCCUUCGGGUUGUAAAGGACUUUUAGCAGGGAAGCGGUACCGGAAGAAUAAGCACCGGCUAACUACGUGCCAGCAGCCGCGGUAAUAC
RNAcentral lists this ribosomal RNA (406 nucleotides) under uncultured bacterium. RNAcentral describes it as "partial 16S ribosomal RNA". It matches the Rfam family "Bacterial small subunit ribosomal RNA", at positions 30 to 526 of the family's 1533-position model. The record is from RNAcentral.